GACGAACGCUGGCGGCGUGCUUAACACAUGCAAGUCGAACGGGAUCCGGGCUUUCGGGUUUGGUGAGAGUGGCGAACGGGUGAGUAACACGUGAGUAACCUGCCCCCUUCUUGGGGGUAACGUCGGGAAAUCGGCGCUAAUACUGGAUAUUCUUGCUGCAUCGCAUGGUGUGGUUUGGAAAGGGUUUCUGGUGGGGGAUGGGCUCGCGGCCUAUCAGCUUGUUGGUGGGGUGAUGGCCUACCAAGGCUUUGACGGGUAGCCGGCCUGAGAGGGUGUCCGGCCACACUGGGACUGAGACACGGCCCAGACUCCUACGGGAGGCAGCAGUGGGGAAUAUUGCACAAUGGGCGCAAGCCUGAUGCAGCGACGCCGCGUGAGGGAUGACGGCCUUCGGGUUGUAAACCUCUUUCAGUAUGGAACAAGGAUCCUUCUUUUGGGGGGUUUGAGGGUACGUGCAGAAGAAGCGCCGGCUAACUACGUG
This 481-nucleotide ribosomal RNA is filed under the name uncultured bacterium. Its description in RNAcentral is "partial 16S ribosomal RNA". It matches the Rfam family "Bacterial small subunit ribosomal RNA", at positions 28 to 507 of the family's 1533-position model. The record is from RNAcentral.